This is a non-coding RNA of Chlorocebus sabaeus (green monkey), 1712 nucleotides long. The record is from RefSeq and is a predicted model, not a curated record. Lineage: Eukaryota; Metazoa; Chordata; Mammalia; Primates; Cercopithecidae.
CCAACACACUUCACCGCGUCUGUCUGGGGAAGGUCAGGGAAGGGACACGAGGCGGCGCUGUCACCGUAUUCUGUGAGCCGCAGCGCCCUGGGCACCGCUGACCUUGUAUCAUUUCAGCGAACGUCGCUGUAGUCUUUGAUGGGGCCACACUCGGGGUGUAAAUUAGAAUCCUCACUGAAGUGGCGGGACCCUGGGAGGCUUUUUCCUGGCCUCUUAGUUGUGAGUUUUCCUGCGGGCGGCAGAGCCCGUUUCCAUCAGAACCGCCCAGAGGCGGGCGCUGCCUUCCGGGGGUGGCGGAGCAGCUGGAAGCGUUUAUGGAUGCUAGAAUCCAUGGGCGGCCCGUGGAAGGGGCUGAAGCUCAUUUUCCUACUCACCCGGCUCCAAAUCCUCCGCGGUGCUGUUUCAAGAGAGUCAGAUUUCAGAUCGCGCUCCAGCCGGUACUCGGAAUUCCUGCCCCGCGGGUCUGCAUUUCACAGCGGCAGGUGUGAGUGACCCGCAGCUGUACACCAGAAGCCUGAAGGCAGCUCCGCCCUCCCCAGCCCACAGAGCCGUUAUUCAGUUUCUAUAUCAGUAAACACAUUUCAUUUUCCGUAGCCCAGGGCGGGGUGACGGGUGAUGCCAGUCCUCGCAGUGAACUCCGGGCCCCAGACUUGAAAACGCAUGCGGGCGCCCAGCGCAGCCCUGUCCUGAGUCAGCAAGCGACCGCGCUGGGCCGUUUCUCUUUCUUUUCCGGACCCAGCAGUGGCGCCUAAAGUCUAUGAGGAGAAAAUCGCCUGUGUGCUGCCGUAGGAGUAGAGAAGGAACAAAGAAAUCUAUAAUUGGUCGUGAACUUUCUAUUUAGCAUGUGGCCCCGCCCUCCCCGCUUAUGAUUGGUCCUAGGAUCCAGGCGUCCACUUUCAUUGGAGCAUGGGAACCUACAGGCCUGGAUCAACACCUGGUUGGGACAGGAGACCACCAGGGCAGUGCACAGCUGGGAUUUCAGUCUCCCGUGUCAUCUCCUGGGUCCACUGGCUCCACUGAGGGCGGCUAGACUCUGCAGCCAGGCAGCCUGGAUUCAACUCCCUGCCUGGGUCUCACCAGCACUUUCCCUCUUGGUGCCUCAGUUUCCUCAUCUAUGAAAUAGGGAAACUAACAGCAUUUAUUUAUUGUGGUUGGAUGAAUGAAAAGGUGGUCCUGAUACUGUGAGUCAGCAUGUGCAGCGUGUGUCAUUCCUUCACCUAAAACACUCCAGUGGCUCCGUGUUGGUCUUGUGAGGCUUCUAGGUUGUCAGUUUCCAAUGGUCAGGAAUCCAGGAGAAGUUUCCCUGAGUGCUUCUGGCUCAGGGCCUCUCACAAGGUUGCAGUCCGGUUGUCAGCCUAGGCCUGCAUCAUCGAAGGGCUUCACUGAGGAUUCACAUGAAACAUGGCUCAGUCACAUGGCUGUUGGAAAAGGCCUAGUUCCUUGUUGUCUGGUCCCAGAAGUCUGCAGUUCUUAGCCACAUGGACCUUCCUUCAGGGCUGCUUACAGCACAGCAGCUGGCUUCCCCCAGAGCUCAUGAUCCCAGAGAGAGAGAGAGAGAGAGAAGGGGGAAACCACAGUGUGUUUUAUUUUCUACCCCCAGAGUCACAAACUGUUAUGUCAGCAUUACUCUAUCAGUUAGAAGUUGUAUUAGUCCAUUCUCACACUGCUAUAAAGAAAUAACUGAGACUGCAUAAUUUAUAAAGGAGAUUUAA